AUUGAACGCUGGCGGCAGGCCUAACACAUGCAAGUCGAACGGUAACAGCAUACAUCUUUCUGUUUCUCUGACGAGUGGCGGACGGGUGAGUAAUGUCUGGGCAACUGCCUGCUGUAGGGGGAUAACUACUGGAAACGGUAGCUACUACCUCAUAACGUCUCAAGCCCAAAGAGGGUGACCCUCUGGCCUCUUGCCAUCGUAUGUUCCCAGAUGGGAUUAGAUUGUUGGUGGGGUUACCUCUCACCAGGUCGACGAUCCCUAGCUGGUCUGAGAGGAUGGCAGGCGACACUGGAACUGAGACACGGUCCAGACGACUACGGGAGGGAGCAGAGGGGAAUAUUGCGCAGCAGGGGCAAGCAUGAUGCAGCGAGGCGGCGUGUAUGAAGGAGGCCUUCGGGUUGGAAAGUACGUUCAGCGGGGGGGAAGGGAGUAAAGUUAAGACGUAGGCUCAUUGACGUUACCGGGAGAAGAAGCACCGGCUAACUACGUG
Molecule: ribosomal RNA, 490 nt
Filed under: uncultured bacterium
Lineage: Bacteria
Description: partial 16S ribosomal RNA
Rfam family: Bacterial small subunit ribosomal RNA
Source: RNAcentral